This 79-nucleotide ribosomal RNA is filed under the name Hespellia sp. RNAcentral's name for it is "partial 23S ribosomal RNA". Lineage: Bacteria; Bacillati; Bacillota; Clostridia; Lachnospirales; Lachnospiraceae. The record is from RNAcentral.
ACGAGGUAGAUAGGGCAGAGGUGGAAGUACAGUAAUGUAUGGAGCUGACUGUUACUAAUCGGUCGAGGGCAUAACCAAA